CCUUUCCUUCCUUUCUUUUUGGUUUAGAGAAGCCCUUUCAAUAUUUCCUUUAACCUGGGUUUUGUGUUGCUGUAUUCUUUAAGUUUUUGUUUGUUGGAAAAAAGUUUUAUUUCCCCUUCUAUUUUAAAUGAUAUUCUUGCUGGAUAGAGUAUUCUAGGUUGCAUAUUUUUUCCUUUUAGCACUUUAAAUAUCUCUUGCCAUUGCCUCCUGGCCUGUAGUGUUUCUGUAGAGAAAUCAGCUGAUGAUCUUAUGGGGGUUCCCUUGUAGGUAACAUUCUGUUUUUCUCUUGCUGCCUUUAGGAUCCUCUCUUUAUCACUAACUUUUGACAUUUUUAUUAUGAUGUGUCUUGGUGUGGGUCUGUUUGGGUUCAGUUUGUUUGGGGCCCUCUGUGCUUCUUGUAUCUUGAACCCAGAAUCCUUUAGAUUUGGGAAGUUUCCAGCGAUAAUUUCUUCAAAUAUAUUUUCCAUCCCCUUAUCUUUUUCUACUCCUUCUGGAAUUCCUAUUAUGCGUAGAUUGGCCUGCUUUAUAUUAUCCCAUAGGUCUCUUAUAUUGCUUCCAGUUUUUUGAUUUGGUUUUCUGCCUGCUGACCGGAUUGAGUGAUUUCCAUUAUUCUGUCUUCCAUAUCACUGAUUCGUUCUUCUGCAUUAUUCAUUCUGGUUUUUACUGCCCUUAGUUCAGUUUGCAUCUCUGCAAAUGAAUGUUCUAGUUUUUCUUGGCUCCUCCUUAUAUUGUCUAGUUCCUUUCUGAGGGUGUCUGCAUUACUGUUCAUAUCUUCUCUUAAUUCCUUCAGUAUUUUCACUAUUUCUCUUUUGAACUCCAGGUCUGUCAGACUGCAGAGAUCUGUUUCAUUGUUGCCUGCUUUAGGUGAGUUCUCCUGUUGGUUUGACUGGGAGUGGUUUCUCAGCUUCUUCAUCUUGCUUGUUGUUUUCUUUCUCCUGAGGGAGUUGUACUCUCUGUUAUCGGGCAGUGUUUGCCUUGUCACUGCUGUGGAAUAUUUCCUGAGGGCUGGCGUUGUUGGUCAAUCUUUUUUGAGGCAGUGUGGCUUUUCUGGAGUGUUGAUGGGGCUAACAGUGUUUCUCUGAAGCAAAGGAAGACUUCCUGAGGGCAGACAGGACUGGAAGGUCCACACCACGAUGGUAGCAGAUUUCACUUGGUCAUGCAGAGCUUGCUCUGGUGUUUUUAGGCUGUGGGGUUCUUGCAGGGGGUUGGCGGUGUUGGGCAGCUGUUCCUCAGGAGUGCAGCACCCUCUGGGGGCAGGAGCAGCUAUCUGGGUCACUGAGAACCUAUGAGGCUCUUCCCUAGGGCAGCCCAACUCAGAAGGACGACCUGAGAAUGUAAGCGGAUCUUUUCACAGUCUGGCCAAGCUUGUUGCAGCUUUUCUGUGCUGCAGGGGCUCUUCUAGGGGGCUGGUGGUGCUGAGCAACUAUUCUGCGGGACUGGGGCACCCCCUGUGGGCUUGGGCGGGUAGCAGGGCCGCUGAAAACCCAAGAGGCUCCUCCCCAGGGCAGCCCGACUCAGAAAGACCGUCUGAGAUCUUUUCCCGCCUUGACCAAGCUUGUUGCAGCUUUUCUGGGCUGCAGGGGGUCCUGCCUGGAGCUGGCAGUCCUAUGCAGCUGAUCCACCAGGUCUCGACACCCCCUGGGGGCUUGGGCGCGUAGCAGGGCCACUGGAAACCCAAGAGGCUCCUCCCCAGGGCAGCCCGACUCAGAAAGACCGUCUGAGAUCUUUUCCUGGCUCGGCCAAGCUUGUUGCAGCUUUUCUGGGCUGCAGGGGGUCCUGCCUGGAGCUGGCAGUCCUAUGCAGCUGAUCCACUAGUUCUCGGCACCCCCUGGGGGCUUGGACGGGUAGCAGGGCCACUGAAAACCCAAGAGGCUCCUCUCCGGGGCAGCCUGACUCAGAAAAACCGUCCGAGAAUUAAGUAGAUCUAUCACAGCCUGGCUACGCUUGUUCUAGCUUUUCUGGGCUGCAAGCCUUUUCUCGGGGGCUGGUGGUAUUUGGUGCUGCUCUGCGGAAGUGUAGCCCCUCCAAAGGGCAAGCAGGCCUGUGCAGGGACAAGCCCUGCAGUGGUAGGCUUCAGGCAAUUGUUGAGGCCAGCCCUCCUGGAUGGCAGGCAGCCCCAGGUCCAGGGAGAGCGUAGGGGGUGGCGGGGGUGGGGGGAGGUGAUGCACUGGGAAGCACAGCUUUCAGCUAGCUAGCGGGCCUGUAAGCUUGCUGUGGCGUGGGGAGUAUUCUAUGGGGACCCACCCCUUCUUCUCUCCCCUCCCCAGCACGGGCGCAGACCAGGCUCUUCUCCCAGGUUCCCUCUGAUGUGGCUUUCCACUUCCCUGCCCCUAGAGUAUUGCUCCCUUCCUCUGUGACAGCUUUGUUUUCUAGUCUCCCAAGCAGUCUCCGCUCCACCCCUCCCCCCCAGCCCGUUCUCGGGACUAACCUCUGGAGCCGAGGUCUCAGUGCCCAGCCCCCACCCAGGCGUCUCAAUUUUUGGUGACUGUGCCCGUAAUUCAGAUGGUCCGUUCGGUUCUUGAUUGGCUUUUCUGUACUCCAACUUACUGCUACACUCUUCUCUGCCUCUGGAGAUUCCUCCGGUUUGUUUGAUCUUUCCCCUGGUAGGUGACUUUCCAGGGUGCGGGAUCCCUUUCUCCUCCUCAGUUCUCUUUCAGGAGUGCCCCUCCCACUCGGAUUCACCUUCUCUCACUUUCCUCUCUUCUCCCUUUCUGCCCAGUAAUGUCUCGAACUUCUUGCUGUUAUUGGAGUUUAGGUUCCUCUGCCAGCGAUUGGUUGCUGUUCUGUGCGAGUCAUUUAUUCUGUAGAUGUGCUUUUUUUGUUGUGUUUGUGGGAGAGGGCGAGCUGUCCCCCUACUCCUCCACCAUCUUGUCCUCUCUCUCCUAAAGGGCAUUUUAAAGGAACACAUUUAAAAAACACAGAAAACCUUAAAUAUGUUUAACUUCUCAAUAGUGAAAAAAAAUCCUAAGUAUAUGAAAAUAAAAUUCUGACACAAACAGCUUUUUAUGUAAAAUAUGGCUUCUCCUUAGGACAACGUAUUAUUUGCGCUUCUUUAGCAUAUCCUAUUUAGAGUAGGAUGAGAAUUCCAUUUAUUUAAUAGAUGUAGUUAAGUGAUCAGUUAAAGGCUUAGCAUUAAAUUCACAACUGUGGAUGAGGGAUAAAAGAAUAAAAAAAAGCAUUCUUCCUACCAUUGAUAGUUUAUAAGUUUAUGAGGGCAGGAUUACUGCAUUUUAAGAUAUGAGACUUGGCUUGAAUUUACAAGUUACAAGGCCUCUCUGAGUCAGAGUCCUCAUUUUUAACCUGAUAAAGAGCAAAAUCAACUGAGUAAAGAUUCAAAUGGUUUUAUGCAGCAAUUCAUGAACAGGGCACAUCCAAUCUAGCAGACAGAAAGGAGCGCUGAGAACUGUACAAGAUGAGAGAUGGUCCUGGACCAAAGUAAGCAGGAUCAAGGACAUUAUACUGGACACUUGCUGACUGGUGAAAACAGGAUGGCUCUCCUUAUGUGGAGGAAAGGGAAGUCUUGGAGCUGGGUCAUGUAACUCACGCUCACGCUUCGCUGAUUUGUUGACCUACACCUUCCCAGGAGAGCUCAACAUAGAAACUCAGUUACACGUUGGUACGCUGAUAUAGGGCUUCACAUGAGUGACAUAGUGUCUAGCCUACGGUGGUUACUUUACCAAAAAUAUGCAUAACUACAUCGGCCCAUAUCACUGAAUUAGUUAUGAUUCUCAAGGAUUAAUGACCAAACCAGAGUUUAUUUUUCUUAAUCAUAGGAAGCCUGUUUGUUUUACUGUUCCUUCAGUGGUCCAGGAUUCAUUCGAAGCUCUGGGUCCUCCGUGAUUUGAUGUGUGUUUCCAUCAUAGUUCCUUCAGACCAGCAGACUUAUUAUAUUUCAUUGUCAAAUCUGGGACUCGAACCAGCCCCUGGUCCAAUCACGGGAGAGGGGAAUUACUAUGGUGGAACUAGACCAAUCAUGACUCAUUCUGUGAGGCUAAAGUAGAUGCUGGCCUUCCCCAAAUUCAAGGUAUAAGUACCCACUAACUGAACAAAAUCAGAGUUUUAUUAACAAGGAAGAAGCCAGGAUAACAGACCAUGUCAGCCACAGUCAUAAAAUUGUAUAAGUGCCAUCUAAUCUAAUCAGCUAAUAUGAAAUUAUUUUCCUAACUCUAAAAUGUAAUGGAAGUAGUGUAACUGUUAUUAUUAUUGACAAUGAUGAUGUUAUUAUUAUUAGCACUUAACAUGAUAAUAUGCUCUCUCAACUAAAAUUAUAUACUCACUAGUCCAAAUCCUUCCUCAUAUCUUCUCCUGGUCUUUAUUUCUCUCUCUGUCAUUUUUAGCAUCUCCAAUGUAGUUCUGAACCCAAUUCUGAUGUAUGUAUAUUAUGUGUGUUGGGGUGGGGGGAGGUCUCAUAAAAAUAAGCAAUUCUGGAUAUCCUACAAUUCAAUUCAAUUUUGAUACUAUUUACCCAAAGAUAGCAUCGUAUUUGACAGAGUAAGCGUUCCGUCCUACAAGACAGCCCCCAUCCUACACAACUUCCAGCACAAAUCCCCAGCUCAGCUUGUCAUCUGUGUUUCUGACAAACCAGUAAGUUGUAGAUUGAAAGUCCCCAUACUCCCCUUUUGGGUUCAUUUAAUUUCUCAGAAGCUCUCCAAAUCCCAUCCUGUUAGGAUUUUACAGAGGCAUGAUUAUCAAGACACAAUUGAUUAAAUCAUUGGCCAUUGAAGACUGAGCCAACUUUCAGCUCUUCUUCCUUCCCAGGAGGUGGAACAAGGUGAGGGGUGGUGGUGAAACUGAAAGUUCCAAUUCUCUAAUCACCUGGCUUGUUCUCUUGGCAAC
RNAcentral lists this long non-coding RNA (4836 nucleotides) under Sus scrofa (pig). RNAcentral's name for it is "lncRNA (ENSSSCG00000043643.2)". Lineage: Eukaryota; Metazoa; Chordata; Mammalia; Artiodactyla; Suidae. The record is from RNAcentral.